GUGCUCGCUUCAGCAGCACAUGUACUAAAAUUGGAACGAUACAGAGAAGAUUAGCAUCGCCCCUGCACAAGAAUGACACGCAAAUUCGUGAAGUGUUCCAUAUUUUU
Small nuclear RNA from Loxodonta africana (African savanna elephant), 107 nucleotides. The record is from Ensembl. NCBI's taxonomy places the organism in Eukaryota, Metazoa, Chordata, Mammalia, Proboscidea, Elephantidae.